UGUGUAGGCGGCUUGGUAAGUCAGAUGUGAAAGCCCAGGGCUCAACCCUGGAAGUGCAUUUGAUACUGCCGAGCUUGAGUAUGGGAGAGGAGAGCGGAAUUCCCAGUGUAGAGGUGAAAUUCGUAGAUAUUGGGAGGAACACCCGUGGCGAAGGCGGCUCUCUGGACCAAUACUGACGCUGAGACGCGAAAGCGUGGGGAGCAAACAGGAUUAGAUACCCUGGUAGUCC
This 229-nucleotide ribosomal RNA is filed under the name uncultured bacterium. RNAcentral describes it as "partial 16S ribosomal RNA". It matches the Rfam family "Bacterial small subunit ribosomal RNA", at positions 568 to 796 of the family's 1533-position model. The record is from RNAcentral.